This 424-nucleotide ribosomal RNA is filed under the name uncultured cyanobacterium. Its description in RNAcentral is "bacterial SSU rRNA". It matches the Rfam family "Bacterial small subunit ribosomal RNA", at positions 356 to 795 of the family's 1533-position model. Lineage: Bacteria; Bacillati; Cyanobacteriota. The record is from RNAcentral.
GGGGAAUUUUCCGCAAUGGGCGAAAGCCUGACGGAGCAAUACCGCGUGAGGGAUGACGGCCUAUGGGUUGUAAACCUCUUUUCUCAGGGAGGAAUCAAUGACGUGUACCUGAGGAAUAAGCAUCGGCUAACUCCGUGCCAGCAGCCGCGGUAAGACGGAGGAUGCAAGUGUUAUCCGGAAUCACUGGGCGUAAAGCGUCUGUAGGUGGUCCAAUAAGUCAACUGUUAAAUCUUGAGGCUCAACCUCAAAAUCGCAGUCGAAACUAUUAGACUAGAGUAUAGUAGGGGUAAAGGGAAUUUCCAGUGGAGCGGUGAAAUGCGUAGAGAUUGGAAAGAACACCGAUGGCGAAGGCACUUUACUGGGCUAUUACUAACACUGAGAGACGAAAGCUAGGGUAGCAAAUGGGAUUAAUACCCCAGUAGUC